RNAcentral lists this ribosomal RNA (252 nucleotides) under uncultured prokaryote. RNAcentral's name for it is "partial 16S rRNA". It matches the Rfam family "Archaeal small subunit ribosomal RNA", at positions 475 to 726 of the family's 1478-position model. The record is from RNAcentral.
ACCGGCGGCUCGAGUGGUGGCCACUAUUACUGGGCUUAAAGCGUUCGUAGCUGGCUUGUUAAGUCUCUGGGGAAAUCUUCCGGCUCAACCGGAAGGCGUCUCAGGGAUACUGGCAGGCUAGGGACCGGAAGAGGUGAGAGGUACUCCAGGGGUAGGAGUGAAAACCUGUAAUCCUUGAGGGACCAACUGAGGCGAAGGCGUCUCACCAGGACGGCUCCGACAGUGAGGAACGAAAGUUGGGGGAACAAGGCG